AUUGAACGCUGGCGGCAUGCCUUACACAUGCAAGUCGAACGGCAGCGGACCUUCGGGUGCCGGCGAGUGGCGAACGGGUGAGUAAUAUAUCGGAACGUACCUUUCAGUGGGGGAUAACGUAGCGAAAGUUACGCUAAUACCGCAUAUUCUGUGAGCAGGAAAGCAGGGGAGUCGCAAGACCUUGCGCUGAUUGAGCGGCCGAUAUCAGAUUAGCUAGUUGGUGAGGUAAAGGCUCACCAAGGCGACGAUCUGUAGCGGGUCGUGAGAGGAUGAUCCGCCACACUGGAACUGAGACACGGUCCAGACUCCUACGGGAGGCAGCAGUGGGGAAUAUUGGACAAUGGGCGCAAGCCUGAUCCAGCAAUGCCGCGUGAGUGAUGAAGGCCUUAGGGUUUGUAAGACUCUUUUACCCGGGAUGAUAAUGACAGUACCGGGAGAAUAAGCUCCGGCUAACUUCGUGCCAGCAGCCGCGGUAAUGUCG
Molecule: ribosomal RNA, 481 nt
Filed under: uncultured bacterium
Lineage: Bacteria
Description: bacterial SSU rRNA
Rfam family: Bacterial small subunit ribosomal RNA
Source: RNAcentral